This 2095-nucleotide long non-coding RNA is filed under the name Ananas comosus (pineapple). RNAcentral describes it as "long non-coding RNA (ACOM_LNC030289)". Lineage: Eukaryota; Viridiplantae; Streptophyta; Magnoliopsida; Poales; Bromeliaceae. The record is from RNAcentral.
AUGUAUAUGUGUAGGUGUCACGCCCCGGGGCCGAUUUUAAAAGCCUUUUUUAAAAUAGAGUUGCGGAAAACGUGCCAUUUUUUUUUUUUUUUUCAACCUGGCCCACGCGACGUACAGACCCGCCACAAAUACAAAGUUCCUCUGUCCACUCGGACAGAGUCUCCUUUGUAUUUGCACGGCGUACCAACGAUACAACAGGAUCACAACCACAAUCUACAUUUACCAAUCAACAACUAAGGCAUGAUAUGCAUUUCCAUACAGCUAACAAUCCUUAGAAUGAUGCAUGCCUCUAAGCACUCCUUAGGCGCUGGAUGAUGCAAUGCACAAUACAACAAACAUCCUAUUUAAAAGUGCUCCCCACACGGAAGCUUUUGUUUUUAAACUCUAAUUCAUUCAUUCAUAAAAACCAUUCGAAAACCUUUUUAAAACUGUUUCCCACACGGAAACUCUAUUUUGAAAACCGACUACCUCGAGGGGUAGAAAACCACGAUAUGUAAAUACAAGAAAAAUCCGAUAUCCAUAAAAUCAAUAUCCAAAUCCACAAACCUCAGUUUACAUGCAUAAAUAACGAAAGCAUCCCCAGAUCUACCAAAACCAGAUCACCAACACUCAAACAAUCAUAAAGAUCAGCUAACUGAACCAUAUAAACUAUCUAAGCUAUAUCAACAGGACAGUAAGGGUAGAAACUAAACCGAAUAACCUGAGUCGGAAGCUCUAGCGACCACUACGAACGUGUCUCACGUCUCGUCUCAACUCUCACCGCCGGCGAUACCUGAAAAAUAGUGGGGGAGGUGAGAACAUGUAAACAUGUCUCCCCUCCCAGUGGGUACCGCAAGCCGAUGAAGGCGAGGAGUACUCACCGGAUCAGGAAGAGCUAAACAACAGUACGGGUCAGUAGAAAUACAGUAGCAAUAAUAGUGAAUGAAAGAGACAUAUAUACGAAAGAAGUACAACUACCGCUACUGUAAUGGACAACUGAAUGUAUACAUGUAACAAGACUAUGUAAUGAAAGAACUGAAGGUAUACAAGCAACAACCGCUACUAUAGUUAUAUGCAUCAACCGGACGAGAAGUCCAAAUAUACCCAAUCUAGUACCUGCUAUAUUGGUCCGCAGACCUCAAGCGCUGCCUGUCACUAACCUGCACCGACCUGAUUCACCCGCCCCACAGGACGACCCAUCCGGAUAAGUACACCUCCGAUCGGUGGCCAAACCGAUCCGGUGUCGUGAAUACCCCCAAGUGCUGUGACUAAGUCAUGAUGGUAUGCUCAAUACAAAAACCGGCUGAAACCGGUGCCUAGGCCGAAGCCAGAAACAAGGACGUACAACGCCGAACCUCGAUCAACCAGAUCGAAACACAUGACGAGAGAGUCAAUGUGUUACCUGGACCCAAGGUCCACAGAGUCCAACCGACCAGCAAGGUCACUGAUACGAAGUACGAGAACUGACCAACCAGGUCAACAGAUACGGAAUGCACAACCAACCAACUAGGUCAACAGAUACUGAAUGCAACAACAGACCAACUAGGUCAACAGAUACAGAAUGCAACAACAGACCAACUAGGUCAACAGAUACAGAAUGCAACAACAGACCAACUAGGUCAACAGAUACAGAAUGCAACAACAGACCAACUAGGUCAACAGAUACAGAAUGCAACAACAGACCAACUAGGUCAACAGAUACAGAAUGCAACAACAGACCAACUAGGUCAACAGAUACAGAAUGCAACAACAGACCAACUAGGUCAACAGAUACAGAAUGCAACAACAGACCAACUAGGUCAACAGAUACAGAAUGCAACAACAGACCAACUAGGUCAACAGAUACAGAAUGCAACAACAGACCAACUAGGUCAACAGAUACAGAAUGCAACAACAGACCAACUAGGUCAACAGAUACAGAAUGCAACAACAGACCAACUAGGUCAACAGAUACGCAUGUAGAUAGAACUACUCUACUCCUACUCAGGAUACUAAGCAUGCAAACAACGAGUAGAGUAUAACGAAUAAACAAGGGUGCAAGGCUCAAUAUACUAUGCGAUAGUAACAACAGAAGAGUAAGGGUAAGAAACCGUCACCAAGCGUGCACCACUGUACC